AGGCAAUUGCUAGGAAACUAGAGGAAAGUCCAUGCUCGCACCUUCUGCGAUGGAGGUAGUGAUUGUGCUGGCGGAAAAAAUAACGCCAGGUAUGUAGGAGUACAUAACGGCGAGGCUAGCCUAAAAACUUAUGUUCAUGGUGAUGCUUCUUAACGUGCCACAGAGACGAGCCUAGUAGAAAUAUUAGGAUGAAACGUUGGUAAACCCCUCAAGCGAGAAACCCAAAUUUGGUAGGGGAGGUUGGCUAGAGAAUUGAAUCGAAGCCAGCAUGCAGCAAUGCAUAGAUAAAUUUUUGCCCUCGACAAAACAUGGCUUAUCG
RNAcentral lists this RNase P RNA (319 nucleotides) under pig gut metagenome. RNAcentral's name for it is "Bacterial RNase P class B". It matches the Rfam family "Bacterial RNase P class B". Rfam says of the family: Ribonuclease P (RNase P) is a ubiquitous endoribonuclease, found in archaea, bacteria and eukarya as well as chloroplasts and mitochondria. Its best characterised activity is the generation of mature 5'-ends of tRNAs by cleaving the 5'-leader elements of precursor-tRNAs. Cellular RNase Ps are ribonucleoproteins. The record is from RNAcentral.